Long non-coding RNA from Ctenocephalides felis (cat flea), 1059 nucleotides. RefSeq lists it as uncharacterized. The record is from RefSeq and is a predicted model, not a curated record. The transcript is spliced from 6 exons. Lineage: Eukaryota; Metazoa; Arthropoda; Insecta; Siphonaptera; Pulicidae.
CUUUGACAAAAUGGCGCAAAAUGUCACGAAUUUAUCAUGCAUCAAGUUAUAUUUUCUUUAGUAUAAUAAUUACAUUCGUUUAGUUAAGCAACUUGUUUAUGAUAAUUGUAGAAAAGUGUAGAAAAAUGACACCUGCAUUAUAUCCUGGGAUGAAGAAACGUUAUUUUAUGUCGAUUUCUUUAGAUGACAAAGGAGGUAACCAAAUAGCAUAUCUUACAAAAUCUGAGGACAAUAAUAAGGAUCGUUUAUCAAGGUUAAAAUAAUUAUUUUACUAAAUUAAGACAUUAACAUAUCCAUGUGUUCGACAUAACCUCACUUCUUAAAUCUCUUAAAUUAGUCGGUUGAGAAGCGGAUCGAGAAUGAUUGUUUGAAUAUAAGUCGUACAAAAUUGGAAUGAAACGAUGAACAAUAUACAGAUCUUUAGACAGGCUCAAAUAAUGUAUGUUUAGGAGCAACUUGAAGAUAAUGGAGAUUUAUCUUCUUAAUAUAAAACCUCUAAAAUUGGGAACAGUAUGUCAUAUAUGCAUGAACUUGAUUGAUGUAUUGAUGUAUAAUGAACUGAAGAUAUAAUGAAUUCAAUCAGGUUAAAAAAAAUGUAUGUGCAAAAGCGACUCGAAGACGAUUUAGAUUUGUCUCCUGAAUAUAAAACUUCCAAGAAGUACAUCAUAUAUGAAUAUCCUGUAUCCUCGCAUUUGAUGUAUUGAACUGGCGAUAGAAUGAAAUCAGUCAGUGUUAAAAAUGUAUGUGUAAAAGCGACUUUAAGAUGAUGGAGAUUUGUACACUGAACAUAAAACUUCCAAAAUUUGGGGCAGUAUGUCAUAUGUGCAUAAUCUGUAUCCUGGCAUUUGAUGCAAUGAACUGGCGAUAGAAUGAAAUAAUGAAAAAUAGGCAGGCUGUUUGAUGUAUAAGGAAGUGGCGAUAGAAUACUUAUGCAACACUUCACACUUCACGCCCCAAAAAUAGAAUUACGUUCAUUAGAUAUACAACAAUUUUCAUUAAAUAUACUGUUAUUAAUAUGUUAAGAUUGAAUAAUUUGUAAAAAGUUUUCUAGUAUAGUUC